RNAcentral lists this ribosomal RNA (467 nucleotides) under uncultured bacterium. RNAcentral describes it as "bacterial SSU rRNA". It matches the Rfam family "Bacterial small subunit ribosomal RNA", at positions 331 to 794 of the family's 1533-position model. The record is from RNAcentral.
CCAGACUCCUACGGGAGGCAGCAGUGAGGAAUAUUGGUCAAUGGGCGGGAGCCUGAACCAGCCAAGUCGCGUGAGGGAAGACGGUCCUACGGAUUGUAAACCUCUUUUGCCGGGGAGCAACGGGGUCCUUGCGAGGGCCCAAUGAGAGUACCCGGAGAAAAAGCAUCGGCUAACUCCGUGCCAGCAGCCGCGGUAAUACGGAGAAUGCGAGCGUUAUCCGGAUUUACUGGGUGUAAAGGGAGCGUAGACGGUUCUGCAAGUCUGAAGUGAAAGCCCGUGGCUUAACCGCGGAACGGCUUUGGAAACUGUGGAACUGGAGUGCUGGAGAGGCAAGCGGAAUUCCUAGUGUAGCGGUGAAAUGCGUAGAUAUUAGGAGGAACACCAGUGGCGAAGGCGGCUUGCUGGACAGUAACUGACGUUGAGGCUCGAAAGCGUGGGGAGCAAACAGGAUUAGAUACCCCAGUAAU